This 274-nucleotide ribosomal RNA is filed under the name uncultured bacterium. RNAcentral's name for it is "partial 16S ribosomal RNA". It matches the Rfam family "Bacterial small subunit ribosomal RNA", at positions 523 to 796 of the family's 1533-position model. The record is from RNAcentral.
AUACGGAGGGAGCUAGCGUUGUUCGGAAUUACUGGGCGUAAAGCGUGCGUAGGCGGAUCGACAAGUUGGGGGUGAAAUCCCAGGGCUCAACCCUGGAACUGCCUCCAAAACUGUCGAUCUAGAGACCGGGAGAGGUAAGCGGAAUUCCUAGUGUAGAGGUGAAAUUCGUAGAUAUUAGGAAGAACACCAGUGGCGAAGGCGGCUUACUGGACCGGUACUGACGCUGAGGCGCGAAAGCGUGGGGAGCAAACAGGAUUAGAUACCCGAGUAGUCC